This 253-nucleotide ribosomal RNA is filed under the name uncultured bacterium. Its description in RNAcentral is "partial 16S ribosomal RNA". It matches the Rfam family "Bacterial small subunit ribosomal RNA", at positions 524 to 776 of the family's 1533-position model. The record is from RNAcentral.
UACGUAGGGGGCGAGCGUUGUCCGGAAUCAUUGGGCGUAAAGCGCGUGUAGGCGGCUCGUUAAGUCCGGUGUGAAACCUUGGGGCUCAACCCCAAGCCUGCACUGGAUACUGACGAGCUCGAGUCCGGGAGGGGAGAGCGGAAUUCCUAGUGUAGCGGUGAAAUGCGCAGAUAUCGGGAGGAACACCUAUGGCGAAGGCAGCUCGCUGGGACGUUACUGACGCUGAGGAGCGAAAGCGUGGGGAGCGAACAGG